Molecule: ribosomal RNA, 253 nt
Filed under: uncultured bacterium
Lineage: Bacteria
Description: partial 16S ribosomal RNA
Rfam family: Bacterial small subunit ribosomal RNA
Source: RNAcentral
UACGGGGGGGGCAAGCGUUGUUCGGAAUUACUGGGCGUAAAGGGCUCGUAGGCGGCCACCUAAGUCGGACGUGAAAUCCCUCAGCUUAACUGAGGAACUGCGUCCGAUACUGGAUGGCUUGGAUUCGGGAGAGGAAUGCGGAAUUCCAGGUGUAGCGGUGAAAUGCGUAGAUAUCUGGAGGAACACCGGUGGCGAAGGCGGCAUUCUGGACCGACAUUGACGCUGAGGAGCGAAAGCCAGGGGAGCAAACGGG